RNAcentral lists this ribosomal RNA (497 nucleotides) under uncultured bacterium. RNAcentral describes it as "partial 16S ribosomal RNA". It matches the Rfam family "Bacterial small subunit ribosomal RNA", at positions 30 to 523 of the family's 1533-position model. The record is from RNAcentral.
AUUGAACGCUGGCGGCAUGCCUUACACAUGCAAGUCGAACGGUAACGCGGGGCAACCUGGCGACGAGUGGCGAACGGGUGAGUAACGCAUCGGAACGUGCCCAAUCGUGGGGGAUAAUGUAGAGAAAUUUACGCUAAUACCGCAUGAGAUCUAAGGAUGAAAGCAGGGGAUCGCAAGACCUUGCGCGAUUGGAGCGGCUGAUGUCAGAUUAGGUAGUUGGUGGGGUAAAGGCCCACCAAGCCGACGAUCUGUAGCUGGUUUGAGAGAACGACCAGCCACACUGGGACUGAGACACGGCCCAGACUCCGACGGGAGGCAGCAGUGGGGAAUUUUGGACAAUGGGCGAAAGCCUGAUCCAGCAAUGCCGCGUGCAGGAAGAAGGCCUUCGGGUUGUAAACUGCUUUUGUACGGAACGAAAUAGCUCUGGUUAAUACCGGAGUUGAUGACGGUACCGUAAGAAUAAGCACCGGCUAACUACGUGCCAGCAGCCGCGGUAA